GCUAGGCUUGGUGGCUCAUGCCUGUAAUCCCAGCACUUUGGGAGGCUGGGGUGGGAGGAUCACUUGAGACCAGGAGUUUGAGACCAGCCUGGGCAACAUAGUGAUACCCCAUCUCUU
Molecule: non-coding RNA, 117 nt
Filed under: Nomascus leucogenys (northern white-cheeked gibbon)
Lineage: Eukaryota; Metazoa; Chordata; Mammalia; Primates; Hylobatidae
Source: Rfam by way of RNAcentral